UGUGUGCCCGGCCAGGAGCCCGGAGGCGAGAGGAUCCAGUGAUGGACGCCUCUUUGGUCCCCCACCCCUUCUCCCCCCGGUCUUUCCGAAACGGUUCCGUCCCGGGCUCUCCCACUGUCCAGCUCCCGGCCGCCGGCUCCCCUGCCCCUAAGAGCUGAUUUACAACCCAGGAUGUUUGAACUGCUUCGUGUUCCCUUUCAUCUCCUCCGCGGUGGAGGCCGAAAAUCCCCACCUUCCAAGCGGCGCCUGCAGGAGGCUGUUUGGGGACUCAAAGAAGGACCGGCCGAGCCCGGCCAAGGGGCCGAGGAAGGCGGCCCCCGGACCGCCGGACAUCUCCGGAGCCCUCACCACCCUCAAACAACACCCCUAACAUGUCCACUGAGGCACCGUCAAAACUACAGAGGCACAGGCUCUGUCCUUUUUACCUUCUCCAACGCCGACAGGGACGUAUACCCAGCCACCAGAAACUCCACAAAGAUACACGACACUCGCAGGACACAGUAUGAAAUGAAGAGCUCAAAGAGGUCCAGAAGAGCAUAAGAAUGACAAAAAAAAAAAAUCAACAAAGCCCAUUUUGGGUAGCCAGCGUAUAUACGGAUUUCCCUCUCUCCUUUCUAUUUACAUGAAGUUGGCCUCUAGGGAAAAAACAACAACACCCACAACCUGAGCCAGCUUAAAAGCUGGAGGGGGUAGAU
Molecule: long non-coding RNA, 695 nt
Organism: Ornithorhynchus anatinus (platypus)
Lineage: Eukaryota; Metazoa; Chordata; Mammalia; Monotremata; Ornithorhynchidae
Exons: 2
Source: RefSeq, a predicted model, not a curated record